AGAAAAUCUGCCGGAUAGGCUAUAGCAGUCACUUCCACUGGCUGUUCGUCAAAAUACAGUUCCAUGUCUGUGGCUUUCUC
RNAcentral lists this transfer RNA (80 nucleotides) under uncultured Blautia sp. Its description in RNAcentral is "tRNA-Gly(tcc)". Lineage: Bacteria; Bacillati; Bacillota; Clostridia; Lachnospirales; Lachnospiraceae. The record is from RNAcentral.